Long non-coding RNA from Varanus komodoensis (Komodo dragon), 7289 nucleotides. RefSeq lists it as uncharacterized. The transcript is spliced from 4 exons. Lineage: Eukaryota; Metazoa; Chordata; Lepidosauria; Squamata; Varanidae. The record is from RefSeq and is a predicted model, not a curated record.
GGUGCUGCCAGCCUGCACCGAUUUGGAUUUGGCUGAACUUUAUUCUUCAGUUCACUGAUUUGUAUGAUGACAUUAAGGAGACAAGAAAGGUCAGUCGAAUGGCUGCAGAAGUGUGGGGGAUAACCAAGAGCCUUCUUCCCAUGUUGCGGGAAGGCAAGCUGUUGUUUUUCUGAGGCCGAGUAGCGUCCGGAUUCCGAGCCUGCAUUCUGGAUGUCUGCACACACGCAUGGAAAGGCAGGGGGAGUGAAGCAACUCUUUGCUUCACAGAACAUUUGCAAAAUGUGUGCCCACUGCGGUUGUGUUUUGCCCUCUUUUGGAGAGAUGCAUUUCCUCUUUUUGGUCAGGGAGAAGAUGGAGAUCACCAGCCUCAAAUUCCCCAAGGGAAAACGAGUGUCUCCUCUCUGGCAGAAACAUCCAUUUCCAAGAGGGGAUGCUGGAGCCAGCCGUUCCUGGUGGAGCAGAUGUCCCACUGCACCAGGGGAGCUCCUUCCAUCACCUUGCCCUGCCCUGCCAGACUCUGCAGGGUGGGGGUUAGCCCUUUCUUUCUGCACGUGUCUGGAGUCAGUUCGCACAACCCCGCACAACUAAUCCAUUGUGACAUUUCAGUCUGGAUGAGAUAUUAAAUAUCUUUGCGUGUCUUUGACUGCCUUGACACAGAGGGCUCUCUCAACCUGGUGCUGAAGGAUGAGACAGCGGGUGCCAGCAGGCGAUCAGUGCACAGCGGUAAUGGGGCAGCUCCCAGGAAGGCCCUCUUCCUUGUUGUGAUCCUCUAGGCCUCCCUCAGCAGAGGUGCUCGGACACGGUCCUCAGAUGUUGCUCACAGAGUUUGUAUAGGCUCAGGCUAAGGGAGGCAGCUCAUCACAUAUUGAUUUGCAGAGCUUUUAGUAAAAUAUGCUGCUCCCCACACCCUUUGGCCCUUUGUCCUUUCUCUUGGGCCCUGCCUCCUUUGCGUGGGCCUUUUGCAUCGCUGGAAUGCAGUCCUUGAUAGUUUCUUUGAAAUAGAAUUCAGCCCUCUGGUUCAAGGUGUUUCCUCAGCCCUGUCUAAUGAGUAUGCUUCUUCUUGGAGGCAUCUUGGCUGUAGGACCAGGUAGGCUUGUGGAGUGGCUCUGGCGCCUGGCUCGGCAAGUGGAGCUCAUCAAGAAGCUGUUCUCUUUACAAAGCUCUCCAGGCCUUGAGGUUGUUCUUGCAAGCUACUUGUGCCAACCUAGAGUGCUUUGGCCUGUGAUGCCUCAGUUUAAUAGGGAAGCUGAUAGCAAGCCAUCUGGGAUCCCAAACUUCUCUAGUGUUGUGCUCCCACAUGACCUGUUGUGUUGUCCUGUGCAGCAGAGGACUGUUUCUUCCCCUGCUACCAAGAGGUCACUCUGAAACUAUCCAGAGUGGGGUGUGAUAUGGGGAGGGGGGCUCUGCUUAAAGAAAAAGUGGAACGAGAACAGCAAAACAACCACAGGCCGUGCCCAAGGCCUUUCUUACACCUCACGCAGCUCUCUGCAAGUUGGCUUAUUAGAGAAAGACACCGCGAAGGAGGGUUUGUUGCUGAGCCAGGUGGCUCCCUCCCCAGCAAAUCAGCACCUGCAUCUUCAUGCUGCUCAAGCUACAAGAAAGACUGAUUUGGAUAUUCGACUUACGCUUGCCUACAUGGAAAACCGAAAUGGAACAGAAAUAGAUGGAUAUGUCCCUCGUUGCUCUGGAGUCUAUGAUUGCAGCCAUGGGCCCUCUCUGUAAAUGGUUUUGCUGUUUAAUUAGUGGAUUUUCAUUUUCCCUUUUAUGAAAAGUAAAUGUGCUUCUCUCUCUCUCUCUCUCUCUCUCUCUCUCUCUCUGCUUUUAAAGUAGCCGUGUGCGAAGCAAGCCGCAGCUUCCCAUGUCACCCCGCUUUCUCAGCUUCUGCUACCUACUCGUAAUCAAUAGUUCUCAUUACGGGGCAUCAGUUGAUUUCCUUGCCAUGUAGCUGUCGCUGAUAUUGCUUUCUGCCUCCCAUCCCCAAGCUGACCCACCCAGCCUGCAGCUGCUGCUGAGCCUUUUAAUGUCAGAAUGACCAAGAGAAGCACACAGGAUCUGACAUGGGGAGACAAAGGAAGCAGAGGGGGUUGAGGAGGAAUCUGUGAAAACACCCUCAAGAAAUGACGAGCAGCACAGAGGAUGAUGAUUCACGUCUCUGCAGUGAUCCUUCAGUAAAAGGUAACGGAGCAGAACAAAAAAGCAUUUUCCAUCUUCCCGGAUUCAUCUCACCUGAUCUUGACAGAAUUUGGUUGCUCCCUGCUGGAGCUUUUGAAAGGGGGGCAGACUUCUAAAAGACUUGAACGGAGCGAGCGAUCUGGUUGAAAAGAAAUUAGCUCAUAGAACAGGGCGCAAACCAAGCAUUGCAAAAUAAAGGUGCAGUGGCCUGGUCGUAAAUUCCUCCAUGCUGCUGCUGCUGCGCUCGCUCGCUCGCUCUCUCUCUCUCUCUCUCUCUCUCUAUCUCUCUCUCUCUAUCUCUCUCUCUCUAUCUCUCUCUCUCUCUCUCUCUCUGCGGGAGAUUUACGGUCUCCUGUAAACCUCCAGCCCACCUGCCCUGUCAGACCAAGCCACCUGCUCCGCUGCCAAUUAUUAUUUGCAUUGUGUCAAUAAAGUAGGGCCAUUCUUAUGACUAACAUUCUGUCCUCUGAAAUCGGGCGCAUAGCAUGUAGAGCUGAGCCGAGUCAGGUUAUUUCUGAGGGCUAGGGGAGGUCAAUGUCAUUUGAUGCUUAAAAGGGGACAUAUUCAGGUCCACAGAGAAGAAACGUGUGCAUAUAAGGAAGAAAUGAUAGAACAUUGGCAAGUGAGGGUAGCCAACGUUUGUUUGUUUGUAUCCCAUUUUUCUCUGAGGAGGCCAAGAUGUUAUAUGUCCUGAGCAAGGAGCUUCUGAAUUCAAUUCUGGAGCUCUUGGGGUUGCAUACUAGUGUCAGAUGGGGCUGAGAGCAAAUGGGAUGGAGUCAAAAGUAGGACCGCCCCUCCAUAUUUUAGCCCAAAUUUCUUACUGCCAGUGGCUACCUGUUAGAAUGCAGAAACCUGGAGGGCAAGGUUUGGCCUGCAGACUGGAGGUCGUACCCCACUGGCAUAUAUGACCUUCCUUCUCUCCAUAUUAUCCUCACCAGAGCCUUUUUUUGUGAGUGAGGCUGAGAGCCAGUGGAUAGUCCAAAGUCAUCAAGUGAAUCUCAUGAGGACCUGGAUCUCAGAGUCCCUGUUCAACACUCUAACCGCUACACCACAUUGACUCUUCAGCAUUCACUGCUAGUGUUGGCCAAAGUUCUGCUUAGGUUUCCCUAUUAUGAUUAUAACCUGUUUUAGUGACCUGACACCCACAGGUGCUGGCUCUGGGUGCCAGAUCUGGUGCAGCAGUGCCAAAACGGGGUCCAGCUGCCACCACUGAGUGUAAAACAAGCCCAGUCCCCCCCCAAUUCCCAAGAAUUCUCAGUCCCUUGGGAAUGAAUAGCCAAGGAUGCCACUGGAGUCCCUCAGGUUCAGCUUCACUGCAGCCCACUUGUGACCUUAGAAGAGAAGGGCUAUGGUUAGCUUUUGCUCAGCACCAGGUUUUGCGGACAACCUGGUAAUUAAAAUAGCAUGGCCUAUUCCUUUGUGAAAGACCUGCUUUCUCCCACAAAGCACACAGUCUGGGUUUGGUGAAAACAGAGUCGAAGAUGUAUGAAAGAUUUAGGAAAAAGCUCAGAAUGGAAAAAAGGCUGGUCAGAGUCUGAAUGCACAACAAUAAGCAAUCAAAGUGGCGAAAGGCAAACAAAAAGGGAAAAAUACAGUCUACAAAGCACAGCCCUGGACAAAGUGCCUAGCUGGGUUUUUGAAGACCCUCGUGUCUGUGGAAGAGAUCUGGUGCCUGUGUCAGAUCCUCCCCUCUUUGUGUGGGAAAAACAAGGCCCCAGUGCUUGUGCCAGAGAAAGCUUGGUUCAGUCUCCUCUCAUGCCUCGCUCAAGCUCCCACACUUCCUGGAAGACAUGCUGCAAGAGAAAGACCUCCAGCCUCCUUUCCCAGGGGAGUACAACCCCUUCAGUUUCCUUGUCUAGGUGGCGUUUCAAGGAGCAUCUCUUGUUUUUGUGUCUGCUGACUGCCUGAUCAUGGCUCAUCCCCAACUUCUGAGAUAGAUUUUAGGAGAUUCCUUGUUAUUUCAGCAUCUGGACAAUUUGUUAUUCGGUACAUUUGCUAAAUGGAGAUGCUUGACUUUGAGAUGACCUUAGCCAGGGCAUCUGAAUUGCAGUGCCAGCAUUCAUAUGGCCUGGCAGAGACCCAGCUGAUCGAAAAUGGGAGUUUUCUGUAUCUUGGACCUCAGUAAGACGGUGUCAGUAUGGUCUGCCUGAGCAGCCCGCUCCAUUUUCUUAAUUGCAACUCCACUGGGAGCUGGCAGGUCCUGACUCUUCCCUCCCACCCCUCAGGAUGACCAGGGGAAGUUAACCAUCAAGCUCCUAUGGGACGGGUGUGCUAGUGUCUGGAUUGCAGUCCAGAUCUAAGCUACCUGGACUUCUUGCUUUCUCCAACCCACAUAAUUGAGCAAUGCUCCAAGCAGUCUAUGUACAUCACCAUGGGGGGAUUAACAGGUUCCUGUUGUGAAUUUCUCAAUCCUUAGACAUCUGUAUCUACCUACCUACCUACCUCCCCUUUGUAUUUAAAGGGCCUGAAGGCCAGUUAUUGAGAACAGCAUACCAUGGUAUUAACCGGUUGUUGGAACUAACACAUUGCAGGUCUCUCUGCUCACACAUGGCAACUCCAUGUUUUGUGGUGAGAUCUACUGAAAAGUAAGGUGGCAUAGAAGAAUUCGGCUUAGGGAACUAGAUACUGCUUUGAUAUAUGGAGCUGUGUCUAGGGCAUCAUUCUGCUAGCAGAAGUCUUUGACUGUUUGGGAAAGCCCCGUUUUUAUCUUUGCAGAAGUAUCACAACCACUAAAGCACUGCAGGAUUACAUGCUUGUGCAAGCCAUUGCACGUGUGAUUCUGUAGCUCAUUGCACCUUCAUCACACUAGUUCAGUGCUAGAAGGCCUUUUGGACAAGGGGCACAUUUGGCAGGUUGAGAAUCGGUACUGAGCACCACCAAAAAAUGGCUGCCAGGGGAGCAUGGCAGAGACAACUAAGACAAGGCAGAGGGGGGAGCUAAGCUCCAGCAUUUUGAACAGCUCCUUUGAACCCAUCGUUUUCAAAAUUUUCUGCUUCUUAGAAGUGAGGUGUAAGGCCUUUUGGUACUCGCAAGAAAGGUGUCUGGGAGCACACGGCGGCCUCUGCGCACCACACUGCUUGCCAGCAUGCUACGCAUUUGCGCUAGCUGCUUCACUCGUGGUUGUGCAAGUGCUGGCACAACCAGCAGUCAUUAGUUGAGCACCAUCACCUUUUGUACUUCUUCAGUUGGAACUAUGCCAGAGAAAAUCUAUACAUUUCUCCCCACUUGUGCCUGUGCACACAAAAACGCUCACGAAAUUAAAAAUCAGGAAGGCUGUGGAAGCAUGUGACACCCGUGUUAAUAUGAGAACAAGCGUAUAGCCAGAGCGGCAUAGCAGUUAAAGUGUUGGACUAGGACUCAGGAGAUGCAGGUUCUGAUUCACAUGUGACCAUAAUGCUUUGACAAAGCUUGAGUGGCUUUGGUCCAGUCUCUGGUUCUUGGCCUAAUCUACCUCACGUUGUUGUUGUGAGGAUAUAAUGGAAAAAAGGAAGAUUAUGUAAGUUGUUUGAAUACCUUGAAGGAUACAGGGCAGAAUGUCCAUAUAACAAAAGCAUAAAUCUUCAGAGUGUUGAGUUUUAAAAAUGGUAGAAAGGAAUAAGAUGCCCUGCUUGGUGGAUGUGGUUUUGGAUAAAGAUGAAACUGAACCUGGAAAUAUAAAAAAGGCACGUAAGGUUUAUUCAGAACGGAUGACACACAUAGGAGAGACAGCCUGGCAAGCCAGAGAGCUCUUAGUCUUGCAACAAAGACAGCAAAGAUUAUAUGCAUUUAAUGAUUAUCUAUGCCUAAUACUAACAUGCUGAUGUACAAAGUGGCAUUUUGCUAACUUCUUCAAGGCAGCUUUUUGGGGUGGAGGACCCCAGAGAAUUAGCACAUUCCUCGGUAAACGCACUUUGUUACCUCUUACAUCCUGUCCCUAAUUGGUUACCUCAUAUUUUCAAGUUGUCUUGAAAAUCACCUGAGAUCGUGAACGAUGGAAGCUGCUUGCUUCAUCAUCUAUGUCUUGGAGACGUAGAUGCCACAGCUGAACUACGCACCAUGUGAAGAAGUACUUUCUUUUAUCCAUUCUUUAUCUCCCACCAUCCAGCUUCAUAGGAUGACACUGGACUCUAUUAUUUGGGGAAAGGCAGAAAAAAACAGCUUUCUCCACACUAUGUGACAUUCUUGGAGGAUAUUAAUUAGACCUUGUGUUUUCCAUCCACUAUGGGUAGCCUUUAUUGAGCCUGACCCUAUUAACCCUGCUUGAUUUCUCAUUGGCUUUUGAUGCAUCAAACAUGUUAUUCUUCUAGAGUGACCCCCUGGGUUUGGCCAUUGGAGGCACUGUGUUACAGUGGUCCUGGUCCUAUCCGUGGGGUCAAUUUCAGUUUGACAUCUGAAUCAGGUAAAGAUCAGUGUCAAGACUCAGUGAUGGGCUGGAUGAGGGCCAAUAAACUGAAGCCAGAUCCUGGAAAAGUGGAAGCACUGCGGGCAAGGGCUUCCCAAGACAGGAAGAUAGACUCAUGACCUCUUCUGCAUGCCCCAUGAAAGAUUGGAUUCGUAGUCUGGGGGCACACUGAGAUUCAUCAUGGCUGCAGGAGUCCCGAGCAACCCCAGCAGCUUGGAGUGUGUUUUACCAUCUUCACCAGCAAUGGCCUUUCCCGUGAGAGCUUGACCACAGCAAUACCUCAAGACUGCAGUGCACCCUCUGUAGGGCAAGUGCUAGUGCAGAAGGCAGUGGGGACCUGGAUAUCUUGGAGAGCACCUUCUCCCUUAUCCACCUGGUUGGUGUGAUAGAAUAUUCUUUGCCUGUGACCCACCUGGAAUCCACUUGGAGGAAAUCCCUCAGUGUAGCAGCUCAAUUUCUCUGGAACUGUCUCUGGAGCUCUGGAAGGUGCUAAAGUUGUACUUCUUUGGGUUCCUUCUGAAAACACUUCUAUUUCCUGAAUGAAUGACCUAUGGCUUUAUUGAUUAGGUUUUUAAUAGAUUGUUUUCUGUGUUUUCCUUGUUUUAUCUUUACUGUACAUCAUUCAGAAAUCUCCAUAUUGGAAUAUGUAUUCAUUUAUGUAAACAAAUACUUAGAUAAGUACAAGCAUUGUUCCACAAACAGAUAAAUAAACCCUAAAGAGCUAGAAAUGGCAAUA